Molecule: non-coding RNA, 73 nt
Organism: Pseudocohnilembus persalinus
Lineage: Eukaryota; Ciliophora; Oligohymenophorea; Philasterida; Pseudocohnilembidae
Source: Rfam
GCGUGGCUGGCUCAAUUGGUAGAGCAUUUGACUUCUAAUCAAAAGGUUGUAGGUUCGAGCCCUACGUCGCGUG